This 253-nucleotide ribosomal RNA is filed under the name uncultured bacterium. Its description in RNAcentral is "partial 16S ribosomal RNA". It matches the Rfam family "Bacterial small subunit ribosomal RNA", at positions 524 to 776 of the family's 1533-position model. The record is from RNAcentral.
UACGUAGGUGGCAAGCGUUGUCCGGAAUUACUGGGCGUCAAGGGCGUGUCGGUGGUCAAACCCGUCAGGUGUGCCACCCCGGGGCUUAACUUCGGGCCUGCCUUUGAACAUGUAUGACUUGAGGGCACGAGAGGAAAGUGGAAUUCCUCGUGUAGCGGUGAAAUGCGUAGAUAUUAGGAGGAACACCAGUGGCGAAGGCGACUUUCUGGAUUGACCCUGACACUGAGGCGCGAAAGCGUGGGGAGCAAACAGG